CAGGUAGGAGUUGGGGAGCUAGUUGCUCGGCACUGAAAAGAGCUUAUGUGGCUUUACUACCAUCAGUGUUUGAUUAUGGCAGCAUUGCCUAUGGGUCAGCUGCUAGAUCAAGGCUUAAGAAGCUGGAUGUGAUUCAGGCACAGGCGCUGAGAGUCUGCAGUGGGGCUGUUAAGACAACGCCACUACCUGCGUUACAGCAGCAGAAUCACUUCACAGACGUUCAGCAGCUUCAUGACGAUCAUUUCCUGCCUUCACAAGCUUCUUACCUGACCACCAGAGGGCGGGCUCUUCUGUCCAGUGGACUCACCUGCAGUGAAGGGCUGUAAAGUGUGAUGCAAACAGCGUCUUGAUAGGUGGCGCUCUGCUAUGAAUCAGAUCAAGGACAGUGAAGAGGAAACUCCGCCCUCUAAAACCACUCUGUGUGAGGAACAUGAGGGUCAGAGGAGGAUCCAUCAACAGGGACCAGACUCUGCCAGACCUGGACCUGGACCCAGCUGUGUGUCCAUGAAGAGUGACCGGUCCAUGUAUGAACCUUUGAACUUCAAACAAGAACAGAGGAGGAUCCAUCAACAGGGACCAGACUCUGCCAGACCUGAACCUGGACCCAGCUGUGUGUCCAUGAAGAGUGUCUAUAGGUCGUCUUAUUAAUUUCAAGGAUGGACAAAAACAUGUUGAACUGAUAGUUGAUCAGCAGAGGACAGAGGUUUUCAGUGGUCAGUCUGUCCAGCAGCAUGGAGCAGACCUGGACUCCAUAUUUAAGAUUCAUGUGAACUGGAACUGGACACAAACACAAUGAACAGACACCUCAAACUGUCUGACGACAACAGGAAAGUGACCCGUGUGAGAGAAUAUCAGUGGUAUCCUGAUCAUCCAGACAGAUUUGACGUCUGUCCUCAGCUGCUGUGUAGACCUGGUCUGACUGGUCGCUGUUACUGGGAGGUCGAGUGGAGAGGAAGAGUUUAUAUAUCACUGAGUUACAGAGGAAUCAAGAGGAAAGGCGACAGUUCUGACUGUUGGUUUGGACGUAAUGAUCAGUCCUGGAGUCUGAUCUGCUCUGAUGUUCAUGGUUACUCUGUCCUUCACUGUAGGACACAAACAUCCAUCAUGUCCUCUGUCUCUCACAGAGUAUCAGUGUAUGUGGACUGUCCUGCUGGAACUCUGUCCUUCUACAGCGUCUCCUCUGACUCACUGAUCCACCUCCACACCUUCAGGACCACAUUCACUGAACCGGUUUAUCCUGGGUUCCUGGUCUGGCCUGGUUCCUCAGUGUCUCUGUGUCCUCUGUAGGACAUGAAGAGACAGCAGCUUCAGUGGUGGACGAGGUCAAAGCUCGUCUCAGUCAUUCUUUGUUGAAACCAUCAAUAAAUAAAGACUUAAAAAAUCAA
Long non-coding RNA from Solea solea (common sole), 1385 nucleotides. RefSeq lists it as uncharacterized. The transcript has 8 exons. The record is from RefSeq and is a predicted model, not a curated record. NCBI's taxonomy places the organism in Eukaryota, Metazoa, Chordata, Actinopteri, Pleuronectiformes, Soleidae.